Molecule: ribosomal RNA, 301 nt
Filed under: uncultured bacterium
Lineage: Bacteria
Description: partial 16S ribosomal RNA
Rfam family: Bacterial small subunit ribosomal RNA
Source: RNAcentral
CAGUAGCCACGGUAAUACGUAGGUGGCAAGCGUUGUCCGGAAUUAUUGGGCGUAAAGGGCUCGCAGGCGGUUUCUUAAGUCUGAUGUGAAAGCCCCCGGCUCAACCGGGGAGGGUCAUUGGAAACUGGGAAACUUGAGUGCAGGAGAGGAGAGUGGAAUUCCACGUGUAGCGGUGAAAUGCGUAGAGAUGUGGAGGAACACCAGUGGCGAAGGCGACUCUCUGGUCUGUAACUGACGCUGAGGAGCGAAAGCGUGGGGAGCGAACAGGAUUAGAUACCCCCGUAGUCCCUGUCUCUUAUAC